UCGGAUCCUUCACUAGAAGCUCCCUGAUUAGAUCCCGCAGCGGCGUGGCUUCCCCGCCGAGAUCCGGCGACAUCGUCAGGAUCCUGAAGAAAGUCUCCUUCCGAUUCGCCCCUCGGAACGGUGUCCUUCCGUAGAGCAUCUCGUACAUCACCACCCCUAGCGACCACCAGUCAACGAAGAAGUCGUGUAGAGCAUCUCGUACAUCACCACCCCUAGCGACCACCAGUCAACGGAGAAGUCGUGGCCGUACCCCUGGAUCACCUCCGGCGCCACGUAUUCUUCCGUUCCGACGAACGAGUUCGAUUUACCCUCCGUCGCUGCUGUCGUCUUCAUCAUGGAUUUCGACC
Molecule: long non-coding RNA, 347 nt
Filed under: Linum usitatissimum (flax)
Lineage: Eukaryota; Viridiplantae; Streptophyta; Magnoliopsida; Malpighiales; Linaceae
Description: long non-coding RNA (LUSI_LNC007282)
Source: RNAcentral